GCCUAACACAUGCAAGCCGAACGCGAAAGUGGAGCAAUCCAUGAGUAGAGUGGCAAACGGGUGAGUAACGCGUGGGUGACCUGCCUUCGAGUGGGGGAUAACGUUCCGAAAGGGACGCUAAUACCGCAUGACAUCCGGCCUUUGAAGAGGCGGAGAUCAAAGCUGGGGAUCGCAAGACCUAGCGCUCGAUGAGGGGCCCGCGUCUGAUUAGCUAGUUGGUGGGGUAACGGCUCACCAAGGCAACGAUCAGUAUCCGGCCUGAGAGGGCGGACGGACACACUGGGACUGAGACACGGCCCAGACUCCUACGGGAGGCAGCAGUGGGGAAUUGUUCGCAAUGGGCGCAAGCCUGACGACGCAACGCCGCGUGGAGGAUGAAGAUCUUCGGGUCGUAAACUCCUUUCGAUCGAGACGAACAGCCUUCGGGUAAACAAUCCGGAGGUCUGACGGUACCGAGAGAAGAAGCCCCGGCUAACUCCGUGCCAGCAGCCGCGGUAAUACGGGGGGGGCAAGCGUUGUUCGGAAUUACUGGGCGUAAAGGGCUCGUAGGCGG
RNAcentral lists this ribosomal RNA (553 nucleotides) under uncultured earthworm cast bacterium. RNAcentral's name for it is "bacterial SSU rRNA". It matches the Rfam family "Bacterial small subunit ribosomal RNA", at positions 46 to 578 of the family's 1533-position model. The record is from RNAcentral.